GGGGAUGGGAGAGCAGGCAGAAAGCAG
RNAcentral lists this non-coding RNA (27 nucleotides) under Cricetulus griseus (Chinese hamster). The record is from RNAcentral. Lineage: Eukaryota; Metazoa; Chordata; Mammalia; Rodentia; Cricetidae.